RNAcentral lists this ribosomal RNA (756 nucleotides) under uncultured bacterium. Its description in RNAcentral is "bacterial SSU rRNA". It matches the Rfam family "Bacterial small subunit ribosomal RNA", at positions 8 to 796 of the family's 1533-position model. The record is from RNAcentral.
AGAGUUUGAUCAUGGCUCAGAAUCAACGCUGGCGGCGUGCCUAACACAUGCAAGUCGCACGAGAAAGGGUAGCAAUACCUGAGUACAGUGGCGCACGGGUGAGUAACACGUGAAUCAUCUACCUUCGAGUGGGGAAUAACUGGGAGAAAUCUCAGCUAAUACCGCAUAAUACCUACGGGUCAAAGCAGCAAUGCGCUUGAAGAGGAGUUCGCGGCAGAUUAGUUAGUUGGCGGGGUAAUGGCCCACCAAGACGAUGAUCUGUAUCCGGCCUGAGAGGGCGCACGGACACACUGGAACUGAAACACGGUCCAGACUCCUACGGGAGGCAGCAGUGGGGAAUUUUGCGCAAUGGGGGAAACCCUGACGCAGCAACGCCGCGUGGAGGAUGAAAUCCCUUGGGAUGUAAACUCCUUUCGAUCGGGACGAUUAUGACGGUACCGGAAGAAGAAGCCCCGGCUAACUUCGUGCCAGCAGCCGCGGUAAUACGAGGGGGGCAAGCGUUGUUCGGAAUUAUUGGGCGUAAAGGGCGCGUAGGCGGUUUGACAAGUCUGAUGUGAAAUCUAUGGGCUCAACCCAUAGCCUGCAUUAGAAACUGUCGGGCUUGAGUAUGGGAGAGGUGAGUGGAAUUUCCGGUGUAGCGGUGAAAUGCGUAGAUAUCGGAAGGAACACCUGUGGCGAAAGCGGCUCACUGGACCAUAACUGACGCUGAGGCGCGAAAGCUAGGGGAGCAAACAGGAUUAGAUACCCUAGUAGUCC